GCCAAUCAUCCAUGAAACACUCACUGCCAUUGGACUUUGAAGAAGUGAAAGCAUAUUCUCUGAAGGUUUGAAUCAUGCUUCAACAGCUGGCAUCAGUUGCAAUGCCUAGUAGUACAGUGGGCCAGGGAAUAUCGCCUGUAUGAAGAAUGACAGAAGUCCCCCUAUCCUUGCAAACAUGCGUAGCAGGAUUGAAUCGCAUUAGAGCACCCUGUGAAUCUCCUUGCAUAUAGAUUAGACCUUGGAGGCAGGAAGUUUUAGUAUGCAGAACAUCGAGUUAAUCUCGAAUCC
Pelobates cultripes (western spadefoot toad) is the source of this 288-nucleotide non-coding RNA. The record is from the annotation of a GenBank genome assembly. NCBI's taxonomy places the organism in Eukaryota, Metazoa, Chordata, Amphibia, Anura, Pelobatidae.